Long non-coding RNA from Macaca mulatta (Rhesus monkey), 4025 nucleotides. RefSeq lists it as uncharacterized. Lineage: Eukaryota; Metazoa; Chordata; Mammalia; Primates; Cercopithecidae. The record is from RefSeq and is a predicted model, not a curated record.
UUUUACAAAGCACAAGUUUUUAAUUUUAAGGAACUCCAGCUUAUCAAUUCUUUUUUUCUAGUAUUACACUUUUAAUAUUAUAUCUAAAAAAUCAUUGCAAAAUCCAAAGUCAUCUGGAUUUUCUCCUAAAUUUCCUUGUUGAAGUUUGAUAGCUUUGUGCUUUACGUUUAUGUUUGUGAUACAUUCUGAAUUCAUUUUUGUAAAGGACAUAACGUCUAUGUAUAGAUUCAUUUUUUAAAACAUAGUUAUUCAAUUGUUCCAGCACCAUUUCUUGAAAAGACUAUCUUUUCUCCUUUUUGCCUUGUUCUUUUGUAUAUUUGUGUGGUCUGUUUCUGAGCUCUCUAGUCUGUUCCACUGAUGGAUUUGUCUCUUUUGCACAUACCACAGUCUUGAUAACUGUAGCUUUGCAGUAAAUAUUCAAGUCAGAUAGUGUUAAUCUUCCAACUUUUUUCUUCUUCCAUAUUGUAUUGACCAUUCUGGAUUUUUUGUCUCUUCAUAAAAACUUUACAAUCAGUUUUUCCAUAUCCACAAAAAAAAAACUUGCUUGGAUUUUGACUGAAAUUGAAGAUCAAUUUGGGAAGAAUUGACCUCACGACAAUAUUGAGUCUUUAUCCAUGAACAUGGAAUAUCACUUUGUUUAGUUCUUUGAUUUCAUUCAUUGGAAUUUUGUUUAGGCACCUUUUUUCUCUUCAUUGUUAUGGCUUAAUAUGUUACAUGUUGGCUCAAUUAGGACUAUUUGGGAUUUUUCUAAUUUUUUUUUUUUCAUAUAACAGGCUUGAAGGUGGUAUUCUUGGUGUGAAUUCAGAGUUAGUUGAUAUGCCUAUCUCUCAGUCACAGGGUCCAGGGCUAAACUUUCACAAGUCACCAGCUUUACUCCUAAACUAACCCACGUGGUAGAGAAGGAAUUCUUUAGACAGAAAAUGAAGUAUGAUUACCAAAAGAAAGAUGAAUAAAUGCUGGAGAACAAAAAUGUCAGGUACUCUUCUACAUGUUUUAUCAAAAUCACAUUGUAUUUCAGACAUAUCUUAAAUUAACAUUCCACCCUAAAUAUUAGUAAUAUCUAAAAUGCAGUACCCUGAAUACCACUCUGAAAAUCAAUCUGUUUUCUAAAUUGCAUCAGUUUUCAUUUGCUUUGUAACACAUUUGCAAUCUAGCUUGACCUUAAUUACUUUGAUGAACUGCUAUUGGCCUUUUUUCAUUCUUCAUAAUCCUUAAUGCCUUUCCUUGAUAAUAUGGGCCACCAUCUCUUUGAAAAUUUCCCCUAUAAUGGUCAUAUGCCUCUGUACUAGUCUGACGUUUUUUCUGCCUGUCUUGAGAUUUCUCCUUUCUUCUUCAGUAGCUUCUCUUCUUUUUACCUCCAGCAUGCACAUAUGCUGCAAGUUCUUUUUAUAGGUCCAUUCUUUUCUUUUUCAAUAUUUUCUUUUUCUGGAAUUAUGUAUUUUUUACAAGUUUAAUUUUCACCUCUUUUUCCAGAUGAUUCUCAAGUCACUCUCUUUCUAGUCUUUCUACUAAUAUCUACUUUCUCCAUAACUCAAGGUUCUUAUUUCUGACUAGCUGCUGCACAUGGCUACCAAUACAUGUCGUUCUCAUUAUAUACAAAACUUGAACUCAUUUUCCUCUCUAAGUGUCUUUAUUCCCUAUUUUUGUUAUUUAACACAACUCUUCUCCUCACAGUAACUCAAGCACAGAAUGUUGGAAUCAUCUCUUAAGCUAUCCUCUCAUUUACUAUGAAUAUUCAACAGAUUAUCUAAUCUUUUAUAUUCUAGUCCUAAUAUGUAUCUUACAUAUUUCUAUCCCCAUGCUUAUCGCUCAUUAAAUUUGUGUCUUGCCCAACUCUUGGACAAGAUACAACUAAUUCAAAUCCUUGCUUUCAUAUUCUCUAUAUUCAGUUUCACUGCCAUAUAGGUUUUCUUUCUAGUGUAUGACUCCCUGCGCAAAAUUCCACAAUAGUGCUUCGUUAUUUUCUAAGUGAAUAAGAUGAUUAGCCAUGAAUGGAAGGCUAUCUGACAUAUGGCCAUAGCAUCCUUUUUCAGUCCUGCUCCCAGGAUUCCCCUACAUGUCCACUUUGCUCUAGUAAUACUGAACCAAUGGCCACUCCCUGAUUAUGCCUUCGCUUCUCUCCUUCCUUGCUUUAUUCUGUCCUACCAGCUUUCCUUUCUUCUUCUCUCCUUAACUACUUAAUCCUACAGACUAUGCAAGAUUGAACUCAAAUACUCUUAUACCUUUAGUCACAAGAGAUGAACUGCCCUGUCAAUUUGUUUCUCUUUCUUUCUUGUUGCAAAUAACCUUAUUUAUUCUGCUUUAUGUUAGUUAUAGUUGUUUAAGGACUUAUUCUUUCUACUAGGUUACAUACAGAUGUCUUGACUACUGUUCUAUUUUCAUCUUCAUAACCUCUGUAACAGCUGUUAGUUCUACAAUAAGAACUUUUUAAUUUAUUUGGUUGUUAUUUUCAUACUUUAUUUUUUUAUUCAUAAAGAAUCUUACAGGUGUGUCUCCAUUUCACAUUAUAUGACAUUUAAUUAGUUCCUUUUUUUUCAUUUAUCUUGUUAGAGAAAAAUGCUUUAAGCAAACUAGAAUGUAAAAUAAAACAUUUAAAAAUACUGUUAGUGUAAAUUUUGAUUUAUCAUUUAGACUUUCACUUUACAUAUGAUGACCCUUAAACUUUUCUAUUAAAUAAUUAAUCUACUUAAAUUUUACCUUUAAGUUAAAAUCUUGAAUUAUUUAUAUGAAUGUAAAAAUGAUAUCAACUAAACUGCGAUUCUAAACAAAAUAACCGAAUAAUAGAAAGCUGUGGGAUAAAAAUGGAGAAAUACAUUAAAAUUUCUUUGGGGCCCCGACUUUAUUGCUUAUGGCAAACUUGAUAGUAAAAUGUACCGUACAUCACUGCAGUGACAGGCUUGAGAAAAUGAAAAAUCCAAAGCUUUACAUAAAUCAAUCAGAAUAUCAUAUUAAAAUGUAUAACCUUUAACAGAAAAAUCAGACUUUUACUUGCAACUACCCAGAAGGCUUUUUCUUCCUUAUGAGGUUGUUUUAGAUUUUCAGACAGCUUUGUGGAAAAUAGUAUUUUAAAUUAAUUAUUGGCAAAGCAAUUGUGUAUAUAGAAAGACAAAGUUCACAGGAAUUUAACCUCAAUUUUAUUAAUGUUCCCUACUUUCACUUAGUAUUUAAUUGUGCUUUUGUUGAAAUAAUUUCCUAAGUACUAAUGUAUCCUAUAAUCAGCACUUAAGUUCGUUUUUUGUUGAAAUAAUUUCAUGGGACAAUUACGUAUUUUAUAUAAUAAUAAAAGCACACACUUUUAAAAGUUGUAACUUUUAAAAACAUCAUCAGUCUGACAGCCCAUUCUUGGCUCUUUCAUUUUAUUUUGCUUUAUUUGAGAUAUAUCAUCAAAGGUCUUGAAAAACUUUAUAAUGUUUAGCCAUCUCUGUAUUUUUAUUCUUCUCUUCAAUCCAGCAUAUAUCUUGAAUACCUACUCUGUUUAAAAAAACUACUAGGUCUACAUGGAAUCUACUAUAAAGGCUGAGGAGCAGAAAAGUGAUUUGGCAAGAUGGAGCAAGGUAUUUACCGGUCUGAAACCUAAUGCUGUAAAACUAAAUGAUACAACUUGGGGCUUGAAUGGGUGCUGGGCUGUAGGUACUACUGGGUCACUGUUGCUAUAAAUGGUCACUGGAACAGAUUAAUAAAUCAAGGUUUAUUAAUCAGUUUCACCCAUAGUUAGAGGACUACUUGACUCAUUUCUGUCUCUAGUAAAUGGACUUUGGUAGUAGCAACACCAUACCGUGAUGAUAUCAUUUGUGUCGGGAAUCAAACUGGGCGACGCAAGGAUGGUUUCGGUUUUUGAAGCCUAAAUCUAUGGAAGACUUACCAGUUUGGGAGAGGAUAAUAAUAAAAGUAACAAUCAAUGCUUCCAAACUCCAAUUGAGUCUCUUUUUUAGCUUUUAUAUUUACUUAGUUGUUAUGCUAACCAAUUCAGCUUUUUACUGUUGCUGUUGUUAAGAAAUAAAAUUUCUGAUUGCUGUUUUCAUAAA